This 497-nucleotide ribosomal RNA is filed under the name uncultured bacterium. RNAcentral's name for it is "partial 16S ribosomal RNA". It matches the Rfam family "Bacterial small subunit ribosomal RNA", at positions 28 to 507 of the family's 1533-position model. The record is from RNAcentral.
GAUGAACGCUGGCGGCGUGCCUAAUACAUGCAAGUCGAGCGAACAGACGAGGAGCUUGCUCCUCUGACGUUAGCGGCGGACGGGUGAGUAACACGUGGCUAACCUACCUAUAAGACUGGGAUAACUUCGGGAAACCGGAGCUAAUACCGGAUAAUAUAUUGAACCGCAUGGUUCAAUAGUGAAAGACGGUUUUGCUGUCACUUAUAGAUGGAUCCGCGCCGCAUUAGCUAGUUGGUAAGGUAACGGCUUACCAAGGCAACGAUGCGUAGCCGACCUGGGAGGGUGAGCGGCGACAGUGAAAUUGAGACAGGGCCCAGACCCAGACGGGAGGGAGAAGUAGGAAUGGGGCCGAAAGGGGCGAAAGCUGGAGGGAGCAACGGCGAGGGAGUGAGGAGGGUCUCGGGAUUGGAAAACUCUGUUACUAGGGAAGAAAAAAUGGGUAAGUAACUGGGAGGGUCGUGACGGUACUUAAACAAAAAGCCCCGGCUAACUACGUG